UCGGGAAUUUUGGGCAAUGGGCGAAAGCCUGACCCAGCAACGCCGCGUGAAGGAUGAAGUAUUUCGGUAUGUAAACUUCGUAAGAAUAGGAAGAAUAAAUGACGGUACUAUUUGUAAGGUCCGGCUAACUACGUGCCAGCAGCCGCGGUAAUACGUAGGGACCAAGCGUUGUUCGGAUUUACUGGGCGUAAAGGGCGCGUAGGCGGCGGCGUAAGUCGAGUGUGAAAUCUUCCGGCUCAACCGGAAAAUUGCACUCGAUACUGUGUCGCUCGAGGACUGUAGAGGAGACUGGAAUUCACGGUGUAGCGGUGAAAUGCGUAGAUAUCAAGAGGAACACCUGAGGUGAAGACGGGUUGCUGGGCUGACACUGACGCUGAGGCGCGAAAGCCAGGGGAGCAAACGGGAUUAGAUACCCAUGUAGUCCCUGAGCGGGCUGGCAAGGCGCAU
This 447-nucleotide ribosomal RNA is filed under the name uncultured bacterium. Its description in RNAcentral is "bacterial SSU rRNA". It matches the Rfam family "Bacterial small subunit ribosomal RNA", at positions 355 to 825 of the family's 1533-position model. The record is from RNAcentral.